UUUAUAUGGUUUAAUCCUAAAACCUUACAUUUUCAAUGUAAAAUUAACGUUUAUAAAAUCGUUUAUAAAUAC
This 72-nucleotide transfer RNA is filed under the name Leptomyrmex pallens. Its description in RNAcentral is "tRNA-Glu". It matches the Rfam family "tRNA". From Rfam's summary of the family: Transfer RNA (tRNA) molecules are approximately 80 nucleotides in length. The record is from RNAcentral. Lineage: Eukaryota; Metazoa; Arthropoda; Insecta; Hymenoptera; Formicidae.